RNAcentral lists this ribosomal RNA (347 nucleotides) under uncultured bacterium. Its description in RNAcentral is "partial 16S ribosomal RNA". It matches the Rfam family "Bacterial small subunit ribosomal RNA", at positions 338 to 699 of the family's 1533-position model. The record is from RNAcentral.
CCUACGGGUGGCAGCAGUGGGGGAUAUUGGACAAUGGGGGGAACCCUGAUCCAGCGACGCCGCGUGAGUGAAGAAGUAUUUCGGUAUGUAAAGCUCUAUCAGCAGGGAAGAAAAGAAUGACGGUAUCUGAAUAAGAAGCCCCGGCUAACUACGUGCCAGCGGCCGCGGUAAUACGUAGGGGGCAAGCGUUAUGCGGAUUUACUGGGUGUAAGGGGAGCGCAGCGGGCAAGGUAAGCAUGGGGUGAAAGGCGGGGGCCCAAGCCCCGAACUGCUAUGGGAACUGUAUAGCUAGAGUGCAGAGGAGGUGAGUGGAAUUCGUGGUGUAGCGGUGAAAUGCAUAGAUAUUA